GGUUAAUGCUAGCGGUGGCCUAACACAUGCAAGUCGAACGGCAGCACAGAAGAGCUUGCUCUUUGGGUGGCGAGUGGCGGACGGGUGAGUAAUGUCUAGGAAACUGCCCGAUGGAGGGGGAUAACUACUGGAAACGGUAGCUAAUACCGCAUAACGUCGCGAGACCAAAGUGGGGGACCUUCGGGCCUCACACCAUCGGAUGUGCCCAGAUGGGAUUAGCUAGUAGGUAGGGUAAUGGCUCACCUAGGCGACGAUCCCUAGCUGGUCUGAGAGGAUGACCAGCCACACUGGAACUGAGACACGGUCCAGACUCCUACGGGAGGCAGCAGUGGGGAAUAUUGCACAAUGGGCGCAAGCCUGAUGCAGCCAUGCCGCGUGUAUGAAGAAGGCCUUCGGGUUGUAAAGUACUUUCAGCGGGGAGGAAGGCGGUGAGGUUAAUAACCUCGCCGAUUGACGUUACCCACAGAAGAAGCACCGGCUAACUCCGUGCCAGCCGCCGCCGUAA
Molecule: ribosomal RNA, 505 nt
Filed under: uncultured bacterium
Lineage: Bacteria
Description: partial 16S ribosomal RNA
Rfam family: Bacterial small subunit ribosomal RNA
Source: RNAcentral